Long non-coding RNA from Psammomys obesus (fat sand rat), 1223 nucleotides. RefSeq lists it as uncharacterized. The transcript has 3 exons. The record is from RefSeq and is a predicted model, not a curated record. Lineage: Eukaryota; Metazoa; Chordata; Mammalia; Rodentia; Muridae.
AGCACCUGACACAGCACAGGCCCAGCAACUUCCCAGAGCAGGGGACAAGUAGGUGCAGCUCCCAGCUGGUACCCCCAACAGGUGGCAGAAGACCAGAGAAACGUGCGUCCACCUAAGGAAUGCCGCAAGCAGUCAGACAGUGGCUGCAGACAGAGCUGGGUGGCAGACAGAACCCACGAACCGGGAGCGCAGUGACCAGACUAGACCCAAGGGUGCGGAAACCUAGGUUUCUUCUGUCAGCUACUGUGGGUGCUGAGCGGCAGAACCACCUCUUCCCUGUGGGCAGAGCGGCUGGGGCAGAGCGGGAAGCUAGCACUUUGUGCCAGCUGAGCUGCAGAAGGGGCCUACCCCCUUAGUAGCUUGGUAGGGUGCAGAAGCUUGGAACAGCAGAUAGAACACCAAGGAAAAGUACACGGAGAGAAAAACCACACCAGCUGCAUGGAGCAUUCACCAGCCAGACAGAGAAAAAGAAACAAGUGCCGGGACUGAGAAGAGCUCAUCAGCUCCAGUUUGUGUUAUCUAUAUAAUUCUGGCUGUGGCAGCAUCCACUCAAGUGUGGUCUAUCUACUAGGAACCACACCCUUCAAGAAAACUGACUGCUCUUUCCCCAGAAGACAUCAACUCUCUAUAGCUCCUCAGUUAGAGGAACGGGCACUGAACCGGAAGUCCAUGCUUCGUCUGCAGGAAGAUCCGACUGUUAGUGGCUUCUGGGUUGAACCAGAUGAAGCUCACAAUCCCGGGUCCUGCUUCCCUCAGGAAUGGCUGGAGUUCCCAGAACAAGGUCCAUUUCACAGAACUUCCCGUCUCACAGGGAUGUGAAGAAGAGUUUUUCCAUGGAGUGUGACAGUUAGCUCUUUGAAUGAGAUGGUCGGUACCAGGCGGCAGCAACACCACGGGAGCCCAGAUGGAUUCAGGCAGACGGAAUGGCUGCUUCGGCAACAGCCAGUAACGAAGGCCCGGACACAGGGAUAGCAGCCUGGUUGGGUUUUGAGUGGACAGAAUGGCUGUUUUGAGAACAGCAGGCCGCUCACUCCUGAAGAUGAGCACUUCCGUGGGCAGAGCAGCAUGAAGGACUGAAAUCUCUGCUGACCCGCUGGUAAACAGCAGAAGCCGUCAGCAGAACCGGAUGAGCUCCAGCACUGACCGUGGAGGUUCUCUGGGGAGAAUGGGAGUCUUUCCUUCCCCAGGGUUACAGCUCAGAAUAAAUGCCCAGUCUAAGUGGA